This 130-nucleotide ribosomal RNA is filed under the name Fusarium lateritium. RNAcentral describes it as "5.8S ribosomal RNA". It matches the Rfam family "5.8S ribosomal RNA", at positions 1 to 129 of the family's 154-position model. Rfam says of the family: 5.8S ribosomal RNA (5.8S rRNA) is a component of the large subunit of the eukaryotic ribosome. It is transcribed by RNA polymerase I as part of the 45S precursor that also contains 18S and 28S rRNA. Lineage: Eukaryota; Fungi; Ascomycota; Sordariomycetes; Hypocreales; Nectriaceae. The record is from RNAcentral. RNAcentral also lists the same sequence under 1 other name.
AAACUUUCAACAACGGAUCUCUUGGUUCUGGCAUCGAUGAAGAACGCAGCAAAAUGCGAUAAGUAAUGUGAAUUGCAGAAUUCAGUGAAUCAUCGAAUCUUUGAACGCACAUUGCGCCCGCCAGUAUUCU